Hippocampus zosterae (dwarf seahorse) is the source of this 1790-nucleotide RNA transcript. RefSeq lists it as uncharacterized. NCBI's taxonomy places the organism in Eukaryota, Metazoa, Chordata, Actinopteri, Syngnathiformes, Syngnathidae. The transcript is spliced from 5 exons. The record is from RefSeq and is a predicted model, not a curated record.
UGCAUUUUAGAAUUGAUAUCCAGCUGAGUUUCUAGAUACAGUACAAGUUAUAAAACCUAGUGUGGGCUGUAGCAGUUCUGCCUCAAGAAUGCAAAGUAGAGAGAGCGAUAGUUGAACGACAAACGGGAGCCAUUUGUGAUGGACACUUUAAAAACUCGAGGGUGGGUUUCUCUCACUGCGCUGUCGCACGCAGCGGCGCAAUGGCACCAACAAAGUACUGCAUCUCACACAAAUAUGAGCGUGCAGCUGGCUUGCUUUUCAUUGUUGUUUUUCGUUUGUCAAGCUUCCUCAAGUUGGCCUACCACGUGUUCUGUUCACUUUCAGAGUGAGAUGAUGGGCUGCAGAGAUGCCACAGGGAUAUGAUACAAGUAGGGUUGGUUCCACUUCAAUGUAGGCGGAGUGUGACGGAGGGGGUUGAACUGUGGGUUGAGCACUGCAAAAAAAAUGAAUAUGUGAGUAGGUGUUGAAUAAAGUGCAGUAGAGGUUCAGCCAAGAAAGACUGAAAUGCUUUAAUUUAGCUUUGGGCUUUCAUAUUAUUUCUAACAGCUCAAACAAAGUGCUCUAUAAACAUGAAGUUGCCAGAAGUAAAGGACACAAUCAGUCGCUUCAGAUUCACACAAUCGUGUGUGGGCCUUAGUGGUUGCCUGUGUGUGUCUUAUGCGGUCUGGACACCCUUCUGGUUAGAGGAUGGUGGACUCUGGACUGAGUGGAAUGACACAAGGGGUGACCGUGGCGGUGAUGGUGUGAUCUUCAACGAACAAUCAACUUUCCUGUGGCACAACUGAUGAUCUGUAACAGCACACUGGUUGGGAAUCACUGCUCUGUCAGACUAAAACGUGAGCCCUCCAAGCAGAGCGAGUUUUUGGGGUUCUGUCCUUCCUAUUGGCCUUGAGCACAGGGGCUCUCUCACUUGUUUUUGCCCUCUGCUGGACAUCAGAGACAGUGCGUUCCUACUCCAACACUCGCUCUCUGCUGAUGGCAGGCCAGGCGCUCUAUCCCACCACCUUGUUGCUCCUCACCAUGUCAUCGACAGGUUUCUUCUUCCUACUCAGCUGGUCCUUUUUCACCUAUCAUCACUCUGAAGAAAUCUACCAGGACUUUUCCAUCUUAGGCUCGUCUUACUGGCUGGGGGCUUUAGGCUGGAUCCUAUUGCUGGUUGUCGAAACGAUCAUCUUCGUAGCUGAGCAAGCUAUUGUGCCUGACAUCCUGGAAGACCUGGAGAAGGUACUGAAGUCAUGGCGGGUCAACUCUCGGCUCAAUCGUAGCUUCAGUGAUGGUUGUCCUCAGCUUGCAAUCAGUAAAAGUAAGAUAGCUCCAAAGCGGUACAUGUCAGUACCUUGAACGGGCUCCGACAUUUGUAUAUGACAGUGAAAAUGUGUGCAAUACAGUAUUUUCACGUGAAUAUGUUCAAACUCAAUGUGGAAAACAGCAUCUUAUCACGAUACCGAAGGCAUCUUCCAGACAUAUGAACUCACAAAAAGACACUUAAGCCCAAUUUCCCAACGGUUUGCAAAGUGAUUUAUCACACCGGAGUGAGCUUAAUUGCAAUAGCUUGUUUUUGGUUUUUGAAUACAGCGACGCAAAGGCUGCUGAAAACAGCAUCUCCGUGUCUAACCGUGGUGAGAAGGUGCAGACAAAGUGAGAGGUGAUGGGGGAAACGGAUCUUUUGUGUUUGAGGAAAUGUUUUUCAAAUGCUCGAAUCAAAAAUAAUGCCGAUAUAUUGUUUGUUCACCAAUGCAAUUUUGGCGCUUUAUUAAAUGACGUAAAGGAUUGCAAAAUACUUCCAACUU